RNAcentral lists this long non-coding RNA (539 nucleotides) under Homo sapiens (human). Its description in RNAcentral is "long non-coding RNA NONHSAT169081.1". The record is from RNAcentral. Lineage: Eukaryota; Metazoa; Chordata; Mammalia; Primates; Hominidae.
GGGAGCUGGAGAAUGAGCUGGAGGCCGAGCAGAAGCGCAACGCAGAGUCGGUGAAGGGCAUGAGGAAGAGCGAGCGGCGCAUCAAGGAGCUCACCUACCAGACGGAGGAGGACAGGAAAAACCUGCUGCGGCUGCAGGACCUGGUAGACAAGCUGCAGCUAAAGGUCAAGGCCUACAAGCGCCAGGCCGAGGAGGCGGAGGAGCAAGCCAACACCAACCUGUCCAAGUUCCGCAAGGUGCAGCACGAGCUGGAUGAGGCAGAGGAGCGGGCGGACAUCGCCGAGUCCCAGGUCAACAAGCUGCGGGCCAAGAGCCGUGACAUUGGCACGAAGAGAUGCGGUUUCACCAUGUUGGCCAGGCUGGUCUUGAACUCCUGACCUUGUGAUCCACUCGCCUCAGCCUCCCAAAGGCUUGAAUGAGGAGUAGCUUUGCCACAUCUUGAUCUGCUCAGCCCUGGAGGUGCCAGCAAAGCCCCAUGCUGGAGCCUGUGUAACAGCUCCUUGGGAGGAAGCAGAAUAAAGCAAUUUUCCUUGAAGCCG